ACGCUCGACACCUACUGGAGGCAGCAGUAGGGAAUCUUCCACAAUGGGCGCAAGCCUGAUGGAGCAACACCGCGUGAGUGAAGAAGGGUUUCGGCUCGUAAAGCUCUGUUGUUGGAGAAGAACGUGCGUGAGAGUAACUGUUCACGCAGUGACGGUAUCCAACCAGAAAGUCACGGCUAACUACGUGCCUAGCAGCCGCGGUAAUCUGAGCGGGCUGGCAAGGC
RNAcentral lists this ribosomal RNA (224 nucleotides) under uncultured bacterium. Its description in RNAcentral is "partial 16S ribosomal RNA". It matches the Rfam family "Bacterial small subunit ribosomal RNA", at positions 328 to 539 of the family's 1533-position model. The record is from RNAcentral.